RNAcentral lists this ribosomal RNA (253 nucleotides) under uncultured bacterium. RNAcentral describes it as "partial 16S ribosomal RNA". It matches the Rfam family "Bacterial small subunit ribosomal RNA", at positions 524 to 776 of the family's 1533-position model. The record is from RNAcentral.
UACAGAGGUGGCAAGCGUUGUUCGGAAUUACUGGGCGUAAAGGGCGCGUAGGCGGUCUUCUAAGUCUUGUGUGAAAUCCCUCGGCUCAACUGAGGAACUGCACGGGAUACUGGAAGACUUGAGUUCGGGAGAGGGAAGCGGAAUUCCGGGUGUAGCGGUGAAAUGCGUAGAUAUCAGGAGGAACACCAAUUGCGAAGGCAGCUCGCUGGGACGUUACUGACGCUGAGGCGCGAAAGCGUGGGGAGCAAACAGG